RNAcentral lists this ribosomal RNA (478 nucleotides) under uncultured bacterium. Its description in RNAcentral is "partial 16S ribosomal RNA". It matches the Rfam family "Bacterial small subunit ribosomal RNA", at positions 28 to 507 of the family's 1533-position model. The record is from RNAcentral.
GAUGAACGCUGGCGGCGUGCCUAACACAUGCAAGUCGAACGGAGUCCAGCCUUUAAGACCUUCGGGUCAAAGAGGGGAAGACUGAGUGGCGGACGGGUGAGUAACACGUGGGCAACCUGGCUCAUAGAGGGGGAUAACAGAGAGAAAUUUCUGCUAAUACCGCAUAAGCACACACUGCCGCAUGGCAGAGGGUGAAAAGAGAAUCGCUAUGAGAUGGACCCGCGCCUGAUUAGCCAGUUGGCAGGGUAAGAGCCUACCAAAGCGACGAUCAGUAGCCGAUCUGAGAGGAUGAACGGCCACAUUGGGACUGAGACACGGCCCAAACUCCUACGGGAGGCAGCAGCGGGGGAUAUUGCACAAUGGGGGGAAUCCUGAUGCAGCGACGCCGCGUGAGUGAAGAAGUAUUUCGGUAUGUAAAGCUCUAUCAGCAGGGAAGAUAAUGACAGUACCUGAAGAAGAAGCCCCGGCUAACUACGUG